RNAcentral lists this ribosomal RNA (253 nucleotides) under Phocaeicola plebeius DSM 17135. RNAcentral describes it as "partial 16S ribosomal RNA". It matches the Rfam family "Bacterial small subunit ribosomal RNA", at positions 524 to 776 of the family's 1533-position model. The record is from RNAcentral. Lineage: Bacteria; Pseudomonadati; Bacteroidota; Bacteroidia; Bacteroidales; Bacteroidaceae.
UACGUAGGGUGCAAGCGUUGUCCGGAAUUACUGGGUUUAAAGGGUGCGUAGGCGGCCUUUUAAGUCAGCGGUGAAAGUCUGUGGCUCAACCUUAAAAUUGCAGUUGAUACUGGCGUCCUUGAGUGCGGUUGAGGUGUGCGGAAUUCGUGGUGUAGCGGUGAAAUGCUUAGAUAUCACGAAGAACUCCGAUUGCGAAGGCAGCACACUAAGCCGUAACUGACGUUCAUGCUCGAAAGUGUGGGUAUCAAACAGG